AAUAAAUAACUUUAUUAACACACAUUACAAAAAACAAUACAACAGAUUUUAAAAGAAAAAGACGAAUGCAUGUUAAUAGGGCGCCCGCUCAGUUUUAGUUGGGACACCUUAUAGGAUGUCCCGACACUGAUUUUCAGCGGGAAGCCCUAUUAGCUACUGCGCAUCCCUACCGGCGAGCCUGCUGGUGUAAAAGGAAAAUAAUGUUAAUAUAAAUUUAAAUUUAAAACUAAAACAGCACAGAAGGGAUACGCAGCAACUAUUAGUCGCGGGGUACGUGGACACGAACAUAAACCAAUACUAAUAAUAAUAUAACACAGACACAAUUCGAUAAUUAUCAGGAAGAAAUUAUUUAAAACAUUUAACAUAAAAUUUACAAUAAAAAGUUAUUUCCAUUACAUACUUACAAACACGGACAAUACAAUAAAAUUGUACCAAUCCUAUGUCUUCUCCACUUCACGCGAGGCAACUCAAGGAACAAAGAUAGUGAGGUGAAAAAAACAAAGAGAAGAGAAAAAAAAAAAAAAAAAAAAAUGAACGAAAAAGAACUGACAUGUCAAACGUGACAGUGUGUCGUUCAAAUAACGAUUCGACAAAAUAAAAAUAAAAAUAAAAAUUAACCUACCACCGACAGAGUGAAAAAUCACUUUCUUUGGCUACCACGGAUUUAAUUGUGAAUUGUGAUUGCUACCUUCCAAGCGGUAAAUGGAAAAAAUCAAGAUGGUCCACGUAGUAAUGAUGUGGCAAGCAUGUGUCCUGAGGAUUACACCCAAUGUAUUACUUUCCUCUAUGGGAUUGACGUUCUCACACUAAUAACGAUAACGAUAACAACCCUUUAAUGCGUGGCUGGGAACUAUAUACGACUGCGUCAAUCAAAGAUUAUAAUAUUAUAUUUGGAUUGCGCACUAACUAUAACAAGAUGAGGCCGCCAGUGACGCUCAACGACCGUUCGCGCAGGAAUUAAUGCGCGCGACCGGGGUGAUGGCGGCCCAUCUAAUCGGCCACAGAGACACCCACCCAACGCGAGUGCGAUCCUCACUGGUGCCGGGACGACGCAGACAGGCCAGCUGCUGCCAAUACACGCGACGCGCAUGCACUCAAGGGCGCGCAACGGCGGUGGCAGGUCGUUCCAGCACCGCGAGGCCGCAUACCUGAAGGAUCCACGGAAUGCCAUGGUGCGAUGUUUCGGAGUUGCAAAUAUGCGGGUGCAAGAUCUUUUUUGAUAUCUGCUAUGACUCUGAGCCCAUUCCAGCUUAUUAAGCAGAAAUCUAAAAGUCAUAAACCAGGAGCUCCAAAUACUCUGGCGAAAUCAUCAAGGGAUCGAAGAUGGAAGACCUGCGAUCCGUCACUCUUACGAACGAAGACACGCCCUCGUCUCGUCCAAGAGUAUCUCCACUGCUGCUUGCGACACUCCUCACGCACCCGGUAGAACAGCUGCCGAUUGGAGCGGGUCAGGCGCUCGUUGAUGUACACCCGGCCGCCGCCCUCGCCCGUAGCACCGCGACGCACGCGCGCGGCCCGCAGCAGGUCGUCGCGCAGCUGGCGGCGCGCCAGGCGCACCAC
Ostrinia nubilalis (European corn borer) is the source of this 1560-nucleotide long non-coding RNA. RefSeq lists it as uncharacterized. NCBI's taxonomy places the organism in Eukaryota, Metazoa, Arthropoda, Insecta, Lepidoptera, Crambidae. The record is from RefSeq and is a predicted model, not a curated record. The transcript is spliced from 4 exons.